This is a long non-coding RNA of Pseudopipra pipra, 1071 nucleotides long. RefSeq lists it as uncharacterized. NCBI's taxonomy places the organism in Eukaryota, Metazoa, Chordata, Aves, Passeriformes, Pipridae. The transcript is spliced from 2 exons. The record is from RefSeq and is a predicted model, not a curated record.
GCGGGGACAGGGGAGCCAUGGCAGCCGGCAGGGACACUGCGGGGACAGGGACACCGCGGGGACAGGGACACCGCAGGGACAGGGACACUGCGGGGACAGGGACACCGCGGGGACAGGGACACCGCAGGGACAGGGACACCGCAGGGACAGGGACACCGCCCCAGCAGGGACACCACAGUGACAGGAUACCACAGUGAAAGGGACAUCGCCCUGGCAGGGACACCGCAGUGACAGGGACACCGAGACUGGGCACUAAUGGCCCCCCGACAGGGACACUGCCCCGACAGGGACACCACACUGACAGGGACAUCACCCUGACAGGGACACAGUGACAGGGACACUGGGACCGGGCACUGAUGACACCCUGACAGAGACAUCACAGUGACAGGGACACUGGGACCGGGCACUGAUGACACCCUGACACAGACACCGCCCUGACACAGACAUCACCUUGACAAAGACACUGGGACCAGGCACCAGUGCCACCCUGACAGUGAUACUGAGACCAGGCACUAAUGCCACACUGUCAGUGACACUGGAAACUGGGGACUAAUGUCACCCUGUCAGUCACACUGGGACUGGACACUGAUGUCACACUAUCAGUGACACUGGGACCCAGCCUGGAAAAUGUGGCACUACUGUAACACUGCCACAGACGUUGGAACCUGGGCUGGAUACCUUGGCACUAAUGUCACACUCUGUCACAGACACUGGGACCUGGGCCUUGGCUCAUGCACUGCUGAGGCUUUUAACACUGAGCUCUUUCAGCUGGUCUCAAAUCCAGAACUGAACAGGAGACUGUCAAAAGCAGAUAGGAGGAUCAAAUUCCUGGGCACAAUAAAGCAGCCCAGCGCUCUGGACUUUGGCAUCAAGUGCAAGGUAACAGCACACAGAUGUUCCAAGGUAACAGCAGAGACUGAUGUUGCCUACAAACCCACGCAGCUGCAGCUGGUUAACACAGGCUCUCCCUUCCACUUUUCCAUUACCUCAGAUGCUGAGCUUCCAGAUCCCAUUCAUGUUUGCCCUGAAGUCUAUGUGGUCAUUAAAACAGUGGAAAGCUGGAGUUAAAUA